This 71-nucleotide transfer RNA is filed under the name Bavayia insularis. RNAcentral describes it as "tRNA-Tyr". It matches the Rfam family "tRNA". From Rfam's summary of the family: Transfer RNA (tRNA) molecules are approximately 80 nucleotides in length. Their secondary structure includes four short double-helical elements and three loops (D, anti-codon, and T loops). Further hydrogen bonds mediate the characteristic L-shaped molecular structure. tRNAs have two regions of fundamental functional importance: the anti-codon, which is responsible for specific mRNA codon recognition, and the 3' end, to which the tRNAs corresponding amino acid is attached (by aminoacyl-tRNA synthetases). tRNAs cope with the degeneracy of the genetic code in two manners: having more than one tRNA (with a specific anti-codon) for a particular amino acid; and 'wobble' base-pairing, i.e. permitting non-standard base-pairing at the 3rd anti-codon position. The record is from RNAcentral. Lineage: Eukaryota; Metazoa; Chordata; Lepidosauria; Squamata; Diplodactylidae.
GGUAGAGUGGCCCGAUAGUUAGGUGGCAGGCUGUAGUCCUGCAAACAUAGGUUAAAGCCCUGUUUCUAUCA